RNAcentral lists this transfer RNA (73 nucleotides) under Bacillota bacterium. RNAcentral describes it as "tRNA-Arg". It matches the Rfam family "tRNA". From Rfam's summary of the family: Transfer RNA (tRNA) molecules are approximately 80 nucleotides in length. Their secondary structure includes four short double-helical elements and three loops (D, anti-codon, and T loops). RNAcentral also lists the same sequence under 2 other names. Lineage: Bacteria; Bacillati; Bacillota. The record is from RNAcentral.
GUGCCCGUAGCUCAAUGGAUAGAGCGACAGACUCCGGAUCUGUAGGCUGAAGGUUCGACUCCUUUCGGGCACA